UACAGAGGUCUCAAGCGUUGUUCGGAUUCAUUGGGCGUAAAGGGUGCGUAGGCGGCGCGGUAAGUCGGGUGUGAAAUUUCGGAGCUUAACUCCGAAACUGCAUUCGAUACUGCGGUGCUUGAGGACUGGAGAGGAGACUGGAAUUCAUGGUGUAGCAGUGAAAUGCGUAGAGAUCAUGAGGAAGACCAGUGGCGAAGGCGGGUCUCUGGACAGUUCCUGACACUGAGGCACGAAGGCCAGGGGAGCAAACAGG
This 253-nucleotide ribosomal RNA is filed under the name uncultured bacterium. RNAcentral's name for it is "partial 16S ribosomal RNA". It matches the Rfam family "Bacterial small subunit ribosomal RNA", at positions 524 to 776 of the family's 1533-position model. The record is from RNAcentral.